CACAACUCAAUCAUUUCACCUUUGCACACUUGCAUAAACAUAAAGCUCUCAAUUCAAUUUCAAGUCACACCUUAAAAUCUUACACACUCAUAAUUAAAUCACUUUUACUAAAUUGAUGGCUUUCAUUUCAUCCUUUUUCAACUGUUUUGGCAUCUCUUCAAACUCAUCAUUACAAGUUUCUGAUUAUGAUAAAAAAUUAUCUCAAUCGAAAUCUUCAUCAUCAACGGAGAAAUCAAAGAGCAAGGAAAAAUUAAAGGGAGCUCCUUUGGUGGUUUAUCAUUUUCCUGUUAACUCUAAUCUCUCACUUUUGUAGUCAUGUCUUGUUAAGAAAUUUAUUUAUUUAUUUUGGUACUUGAUAUUCUUUUAUUUAUUUCUUCAUUGGUGGUUUAUCAUUUUCCUGUUAACUCUAAUCUCUCACUUUUGUAGUCAUGUCUUGUUAAGAAAUUUAUUUAUUUAUUUUGGUACUUGAUAUUCUUUUAUUUAUUUCUUCUUAUUUGUAUUAGAAUUUUUUAUAGGAUUUGUAUCAAUAACUAAUAUUACUUUCUUGAUAUUACUUGAUGUGUUUUUAAUUUCAUUUCAUUAAUAAUGUAAUAUUACUAAAUUCUUUCUCCAAGAUACUUAAUCAAAAAAUUGUGUUAAAUAGAAAAUUGUGUAUGCAAACUAAUGGGAGGGUUUGAAAACAACAUCUGAUUUUGGAUGAUUUACGUAAUUGAGUGUGUGCAAAAUUAUAACCUUGUAGUCAAUGAGAUGUUCCACAAUCAAAAAUAGUCUUUAAUUAUCUUGACAAGAAAGGAGUAGAUUUAUCGACCCACACAAAGGAAGAACAAGGAGACUCAUGGAACUUUAGGUAGAACUACUUAUAAGAGAAGAAUUUAAUAAAAUUCACAAGAUAUGUUCCAAAUUGAUCUCCUUGAAAAUAAAUCACCAUAUUUUUUUAUGCA
RNAcentral lists this long non-coding RNA (941 nucleotides) under Lathyrus oleraceus (garden pea). RNAcentral's name for it is "Pisum sativum (pea) long non-coding RNA (PSAT_LNC021382)". The record is from RNAcentral. Lineage: Eukaryota; Viridiplantae; Streptophyta; Magnoliopsida; Fabales; Fabaceae.